CCUACGGGAGGCUGCAGUGGGGAAUAUUGCACAAUGGGCGCAAGCCUGAUGCAGCCAUGCCGCGUGUGUGAGGAAGGCCUUCGGGUUGUAAAGCACUUUCAGCGGGGAGGAAGGCGGUGAGGUUAAUAACCUCAUCGAUUGACGUUACCCGCAGAAGAAGCACCGGCUAACUCCGUGCCAGCAGCCGCGGUAAUACGGAGGGUGCAAGCGUUAAUCGGAAUUACUGGGCGUAAAGCGCACGCAGGCGGUCUGUCAAGUCGGAUGUGAAAUCCCCGGGCUCAACCUGGGAACUGCAUUCGAAACUGGCAGGCUAGAGUCUUGUAGAGGGGGGUAGAAUUCCAGGUGUAGCGGUGAAAUGCGUAGAGAUCUGGAGGAAUACCGGUGGCGAAGGCGGCCCCCUGGACAAAGACUGACGCUCAGGUGCGAAAGCGUGGGGAGCAAACAGGAUUAGAUACCCGUGUAGUC
RNAcentral lists this ribosomal RNA (465 nucleotides) under uncultured Klebsiella sp. Its description in RNAcentral is "bacterial SSU rRNA". It matches the Rfam family "Bacterial small subunit ribosomal RNA", at positions 338 to 795 of the family's 1533-position model. Lineage: Bacteria; Pseudomonadati; Pseudomonadota; Gammaproteobacteria; Enterobacterales; Enterobacteriaceae. The record is from RNAcentral.